Molecule: non-coding RNA, 23 nt
Filed under: Rattus norvegicus (Norway rat)
Lineage: Eukaryota; Metazoa; Chordata; Mammalia; Rodentia; Muridae
Source: RNAcentral
UAGAAGCUUCUGGAUUGUCUUCU